GAUAACCAGUUGCAAACGGUCAGAAAAAUGGACAUACAAACUAGAAGAAUAGAAGUUACAGGUAGAAUAGUAAAGCAUUGGGUGGGAAGCACAUGCUCCAUGAUUCUGAAUAGUAAAGCAUUGGGUGAAAGAUAAAACUCAUAGAAAGAAGGGAAUGUCUUCUGCAGUUUAGUUUAAUCUGAUAGAAAAAAAAAUUACUCUAUCAGCGAACACUGAAUAGAAAUAUGCUCUUUUCGUGAUAAACGUGCCAAAACAUUAAACGCCAAUGGUAAUAAGGAUUGACAAUAUUACCUUUGAUUAUUAUUGUUGGACACAAAAAUCAUGUAGACUACAUAUAUUGUUGUGUUUUUAUCAGUCACGAGAAAAAAUCUAAGGGCUCGUUGGUCACCGGGAGUUAUAUGAAAAUCUGAAUUUAAAUUCGAUCAGACCAUGACAUAACAGAAUCAAUUACUGGAAACUAAUAAACUAAAAAAAACAGAGCAUAUAUUUCUAUGCCACAAUCCUCUUUAGUUCAUUUAUGGAAUAAUUCAUUAAAUAAUGAGAGCAAUCAACAUAUAUUGUUAUGCUAGCAUGAGGAUGCACAAAUCCGACAAAAGAAUCAUACAAAAUAAGUAAUGAAAUCACGAUUUAUCCAGAGUUCAAUUCCUCUUAACUUAAACAGAAUGAGUUCAUGAACAAGUGAAAUUCAGUAGGAACCAUACACAAUUAAAUUUAACUGUGUAUAAAAUUGUGCUAACCUUUCUUCAAAGAACAACUAAACAUGAUUCAUAAAGCGAGUUUCCCAUAAAUCUUUAUGCACUUUGAAGUAAGAACAACAAGCAAAUUGGACCGAAAGCCAAAUAAAUGCAAGAUGCUUCAAAUUAGAGCCCAGUAUAGCAAGAAAAUAAAUCCUUUAGCAGCAGUGACAGUACUGCGAUCCACGGCUCAAAAUGAUUCUCAGAAACCUCAAGAAGAAGGAAGUCGAACUCCAUUUUUAAGAGUCAAAAUCAAGGAGGAAGGAGCUGGAAUUUUGCAUUCUAGCGAGUGAAGGAGUGGAUAAUAGGGAAAGUUGCGCUCGAAAAAAAGGGGGAGGGGAUCUUUUGAUUCUUUGAUGUUAAAGAGAGAGAGCGAGAGACGCGCUAUUCUUUUUUAUUUUGCAGAGCUCCCCUCUAUUGAAGGUGAGUGCCAUUUUUUGCGUGUCUAAAAGAGAGAGGGGUCC
This 1198-nucleotide long non-coding RNA is filed under the name Nicotiana tabacum (common tobacco). RNAcentral's name for it is "long non-coding RNA (NTAB_LNC006579)". The record is from RNAcentral. Lineage: Eukaryota; Viridiplantae; Streptophyta; Magnoliopsida; Solanales; Solanaceae.